RNAcentral lists this ribosomal RNA (484 nucleotides) under uncultured bacterium. RNAcentral's name for it is "partial 16S ribosomal RNA". It matches the Rfam family "Bacterial small subunit ribosomal RNA", at positions 28 to 523 of the family's 1533-position model. The record is from RNAcentral.
GACGAACGCUGGCGGCGUGCUUAACACAUGCAAGUCGAACGAUGAAGCCGGAGCUUGCUCUGGUGAAUUAGUGGCGAACGGGUGAGUAACACGUGAGUAACCUGCCCUUGACUCUGGGAUAACUGCGGGAAACUGUAGCUAAUACCGGAUACGACCCUCGGAGGCAUCUCCUGGGGGUGGAAAGAAUUUCGGUCAAGGAUGGACUCGCGGCCUAUCAGCUAGUUGGUGAGGUUAAGGCUCACCAAGGCGACGACGGGUAGCCGGCCUGAGAGGGUGACCGGCCACACUGGGACUGCGACACGGCCCAGACUCCUACGGGAGGCAGCAGUGGGGAAUAUUGCACAAUGGGCGCAAGCCUGAUGCAGCAACGCCGCGUGAGGGAUGACGGCCUUCGGGUUGUAAACCUCUUUUAGCAGGGAAGAAGCGAAAGUGACGGUACCUGCAGAAAAAGCACCGGCUAACUACGUGCCAGCCGCCGCAGUAA